RNAcentral lists this ribosomal RNA (297 nucleotides) under Clostridioides difficile. Its description in RNAcentral is "partial 23S ribosomal RNA". It matches the Rfam family "Bacterial large subunit ribosomal RNA", at positions 340 to 640 of the family's 2925-position model. The record is from RNAcentral. Lineage: Bacteria; Bacillati; Bacillota; Clostridia; Peptostreptococcales; Peptostreptococcaceae.
GUUUGGAAAGACCCACCACAGAAGGUAAUAGUCCUGUAUGUUAAACGAGAAGACUUUAGAUAUGAUCCAGAGUACCACGGGACACGUGAAACCCUGUGGGAAGCAGGAGGGACCACCCUCCAAGGCUAAAUACUACCUAGUGACCGAUAGCGUAUAGUACCGUGAGGGAAAGGUGAAAAGAACCCCGGGAGGGGAGUGAAAUAGAACCUGAAACCCUGCACUUACAAGCUGUGGAAGCACAUUUCUUGUGUGACCGCGUACUUUUUGUAGAACGGGCCAACGAGUUACGUUAAGUAG